UCAUUAUCUCUUCCAAGGUCGCUAGGGUUGAAACCCUAGCGCCACCUCCCUUUUCCGUUCUCUCUCUCUCUCUCUCUUCCUGUGCCAUCGGUUGUUUAGGCAUGUCAUCAGCCGCAGCUAAGCCUAUAGGGUAUUUUAUUUAUCAUUUCUUUAUUUUUUUUGCAUUUACAAGUGGGUUGAGUGAAUCCGGCUCAAAUCGAGUCGUUGAUUACCCUUCUACGCAUCUUGAUCGUCUAUUUGACGAGUUAAGUGGAGACUUGUGAAAAAUCCACAAGACCCACAUCGAUGCUUCAAGGUUUAAGACGAAUUUUAGGGUUCUACUUCACAAAUUAAGAAGUUUGGAGAAUACCUGGAUAAGAAAAGAAAGCUUAGAUUUCGAGUAUUCACACAUGAAAUUAGGGCUAUUAGUAAAAAAAAUCAUCCUUGGCUGCAAAAGUUAAGGGUCUUAGUUAAAAAUUUGUUUUUUUUUUGUUUUUGUUUUAUGGCUUGAGUUUUGGGAAUUGGAAGCAUAAAGGCCCCAAAUUCAACUCUUGAUACGGCUGCACACACAAAAGGCCCAACAGGUCAAUUCCUUCAUGGAAUAAUCGAGCCUGGCAAAGAAAAGGGGAAAUAAAUGGCAUAGGCGUAUUGAAGGCCCAACAAUGGGUGAAAAUGAUUAACUAGGGGCUUGGUACGCCCCUAGCCUAACUUAUCCUUAAUUUUCGAUUAAGUUGUGUUUCAUGAUUGUAUUUGUAUUGUAAUUGUAAAUACUCAAUUCUUAUUGGAAUCAUUAUGGUUUGAACUA
Molecule: long non-coding RNA, 784 nt
Organism: Lycium barbarum (goji berry)
Lineage: Eukaryota; Viridiplantae; Streptophyta; Magnoliopsida; Solanales; Solanaceae
Exons: 2
Source: RefSeq, a predicted model, not a curated record